UACGUAGGGGGCAAGCGUUGUCCGGAAUUAUUGGGCGUAAAGAGCUCGUAGGCGGCCUGUUGCGUCCGCUGUGAAAUCCCGGGGCUCAACCCCGGGCGUGCAGUGGAUACGGGCUGGCUGGAGGCAGGCAGGGGAGAACGGAAUUCCUGGUGUAGCGGUGAAAUUCGUAGAUAUCGGGAGGAACACCAGUGGCGAAGGCGGCGACCUGGGCCAAUAUUGACGCUGAGGUGCGAAAGCGUGGGGAGCAAACAGG
This 253-nucleotide ribosomal RNA is filed under the name uncultured bacterium. RNAcentral describes it as "partial 16S ribosomal RNA". It matches the Rfam family "Bacterial small subunit ribosomal RNA", at positions 524 to 776 of the family's 1533-position model. The record is from RNAcentral.